This 502-nucleotide ribosomal RNA is filed under the name Podarcis bocagei. RNAcentral's name for it is "partial 16S ribosomal RNA". It matches the Rfam family "Bacterial large subunit ribosomal RNA", at positions 1853 to 2606 of the family's 2925-position model. Lineage: Eukaryota; Metazoa; Chordata; Lepidosauria; Squamata; Lacertidae. The record is from RNAcentral.
UCCCGCCUGCCCAGUGACUCUUUAAACGGCCGCGGUAUCCUAACCGUGCAAAGGUAGCAUAAUCACUUGUCCCCUAAAUAGGGACUAGAAUGAACGGCUAAAUGAGGACAAAACUGUCUCUUACGGAUUAGCCAAUGAAAUUGAUCUUCUAGUACAAAAGCUGGAAUAAACCCAUAAGACGAGAAGACCCUGUGGAGCUUUAAAACCAAAACCACCAAACAUGGUUCCUGGUUUUUUAGUUGGGGCGACUUUGGAGCAAAAAAAACCCUCCAAAACAUAAAGCUGUUUAUUAAGAAUAACAUACCAAAAAUAACUCUAUAGACCCAGCAACAUUUUGUUGUCUGAUCAAUGAACCAAGUUACCCCAGGGAUAACAGCGCCAUCCUCUUCUAGAGUCCCUAUCGACAAGAGGGUUUACGACCUCGAUGUUGGAUCAGGACACCCCUAUAGUGCAGCCGCUAUAAAAGGUUCGUUUGUUCAACGAUUAAAGUCCUACGUGAUCU